UAUGUAGGGUGCGAGCGUUAAUCGGAAUUACUGGGCGUAAAGCGUGCGUAGGCGGUUCGUCAAGUCUGAUGUGAAAGCCCCGGGCUCAACCUGGGAACUGCAUUGGAAACUAGCGAGCUUGAGUGUGGCAGAGGGGGGUGGAAUUCCACGUGUAGCAGUGAAAUGCGUAGAGAUGUGGAGGAACACCGAUGGCGAAGGCAGCCCCCUGGGCUAACACUGACGCUCAGGCACGAAAGCGUGGGGAGCAAACAGG
This 253-nucleotide ribosomal RNA is filed under the name uncultured bacterium. RNAcentral's name for it is "partial 16S ribosomal RNA". It matches the Rfam family "Bacterial small subunit ribosomal RNA", at positions 524 to 776 of the family's 1533-position model. The record is from RNAcentral.